AGUGAACGCUGGCGGUAGGCCUAACACAUGCAAGUCGAACGGCAGCACAGUAAGAGCUUGCUCUUACGGGUGGCGAGUGGCGGACGGGUGAGGAAUACAUCGGAAUCUACUUUUUCGUGGGGGAUAACGUAGGGAAACUUACGCUAAUACCGCAUACGACCUACGGGUGAAAGCAGGGGAUCUUCGGACCUUGCGCGAUUGAAUGAGCCGAUGUCGGAUUAGCUAGUUGGCGGGGUAAAGGCCCACCAAGGCGACGAUCCGUAGCUGGUCUGAGAGGAUGAUCAGCCACACUGGAACUGAGACACGGCCCAGACUCCUACGGGAGGCAGCAGUGGGGAAUAUUGGCCAAUGGGCGCAAGCCUGAUCCAGCCAUACCGCGUGGGUGAAGAAGGCCUUCGGGUUGUAAAGCCCUUUUGUUGGGAAAGAAAAGCAGCAGGUUAAUACCCCGCUGUUCUGACGGUACCCAAAGAAUAAGCACCGGCUAACUUCGU
This 491-nucleotide ribosomal RNA is filed under the name uncultured bacterium. Its description in RNAcentral is "partial 16S ribosomal RNA". It matches the Rfam family "Bacterial small subunit ribosomal RNA", at positions 29 to 506 of the family's 1533-position model. The record is from RNAcentral.